GGCAGCCAUUGUUCUAUCCUUCCCCAGCCAAUCGGCUGAGGCCAUGAUCCUUAUAAAACCUUUGUGCUUUUGAAACCCCACUCUCUCUCUCUCUCUCUGGUAUCUCAUCGCUGCAUCGGUGCAGGUCAACAAGGUUUUUCAAGAGGACAAGUGCAAAGCAGUCGGAUCUAUUCCAGACAAAGCACCAUGGAAACACUCUGCUGGACAAUGAGGGGAAGUGGAGCAGAUAGGCCAUCAUAGGAAUAAUGAGUUGGAAGCUCUAAAGAAGGGGUGAUUCAUACAUUUUAAUUUAUGAUUGGGUUCUUAUGUGGUGGAGUGUUUUACCAUCAAAGAUAGCAUAAAAAUAUAGCAUAUUUACCAA
This is a long non-coding RNA of Herpailurus yagouaroundi (jaguarundi), 361 nucleotides long. RefSeq lists it as uncharacterized. The record is from RefSeq and is a predicted model, not a curated record. NCBI's taxonomy places the organism in Eukaryota, Metazoa, Chordata, Mammalia, Carnivora, Felidae. The transcript has 2 exons.